RNAcentral lists this ribosomal RNA (421 nucleotides) under uncultured bacterium. RNAcentral describes it as "partial 16S ribosomal RNA". It matches the Rfam family "Bacterial small subunit ribosomal RNA", at positions 360 to 773 of the family's 1533-position model. The record is from RNAcentral.
AAUAUUGGACAAUGGGGGCAACCCUGAUCCAGCCAUGCCGCGUGUGUGAAGAAGGUCUUCGGAUUGUAAAGCACUUUAAGUUGGGAGGAAGGGCUUUAGGUUAAUACCCUGAAGUUUUGACUUUACCAACAGAAUAAGCACCUACUAACUCUGUGCAAUCAGCCACGGUAAUACAGAGGGUGCAAGCGUUAAUCGUAAUUACUGUGAGUAAAGCGCGCGUAGGUGGUUCAGUAAGAUGGGUGUGAAAUCCCCGGGCUUAACCUGGGAACUGCUUUCAUAACUGCUGAGCUAGAGUACGGUAGAGGGUAGUGGAAUUUCCUGUGUAGCGGUGAAAUGCGUAGAUAUAGGAAGGAACACCAGUGGCGAAGGCGACUACCUGGACUGAUACUGACACUGAGGUGCGAAAGCGUGGGGAGCAAAC